Camelina sativa (false flax) is the source of this 426-nucleotide non-coding RNA. The record is from RefSeq and is a predicted model, not a curated record. Lineage: Eukaryota; Viridiplantae; Streptophyta; Magnoliopsida; Brassicales; Brassicaceae.
CUUGGGUGUUUUUCCACAAUUUGUGCGCCACCUGCAAGCUUCUCUGCUUUGAGUUCACCUCCACACCCCAUUUUUGGAAAAAACCUUGAUGCUUCCAUGUCAUUAGACAUCGUCUGCUUCAGAAAAGAUAGCCUUCUAAGUUCAACCUCCAUAUAAACAUAGUCAGAAGGAUCGCCUUUGAAGAGCAAGAAGAAGUAGGUUCUAUGAACCAAUGGGAAGCCGCUGUGGAAUCUGUUUCCUUAGGUUUUUCUUCUUCAACCUGCAUUUGGUGAUCAUUCAAACUGUUGAGAAACGACACAAAAUUUUGUCUCCCCUAGAAAAGAUUUUUUUGACUUACCAAAUCAUCAGCCUGCUCUCUCUCUGAUUGAUUGGUGGCAUCUGUGGUUACUUCAUUUAUAUCCUGAGGAUUUGGCAAUGCAUUCUUGU